AUAAAAAUAAGCUAAAUAAGCUUCUAGGUUCAUACCCUAUAUAUAAAGAUUUUAAUUCUUUUUUUUAUA
RNAcentral lists this transfer RNA (69 nucleotides) under Cephalcia yanqingensis. Its description in RNAcentral is "tRNA-Met". Lineage: Eukaryota; Metazoa; Arthropoda; Insecta; Hymenoptera; Pamphiliidae. The record is from RNAcentral.